Molecule: ribosomal RNA, 323 nt
Filed under: uncultured eukaryote
Lineage: Eukaryota
Description: partial 18S ribosomal RNA
Rfam family: Eukaryotic small subunit ribosomal RNA
Source: RNAcentral
CCCUUAGAUGUUCUGGGCCGCACGCGCGCUACACUGACGGAGGCAGCGAGCAUGUCCUUCGCCGAGAGGUGUGGGGAAUCUUGUGAGUCUCCGUCGUGCUGGGGAUAGAUGGUUGCAAUUGUCGAUCUUGAACGAGGAAUUCCUAGUAAGCGCGAGUCAUCAGCUCGCGCUGAUUACGUCCCUGCCCUUUGUACACACCGCCCGUCGCUACUACCGAUUGAAGAGUUAGGUGAAUUGUUUUGAUCGAUAAGAUUUGACUAUGGUCAACUCUCGUUGUGAAAUUCUGUGAAUCUGACUGUUUAGAGGAAGGAAAAGUCGUAACA